CCUACGGGAGGCAGCAGUGGGGAAUAUUGCACAAUGGGGGGAACCCUGAUGCAGCGACGCCGCGUGAGUGAAGAAGUAUCUCGGUACGUAAAGCUCUAUCAGCAGGGAAGAAAAUGACGGUACCUGACUAAGAAGCCCCGGCUAACUACGUGCCAGCAGCCGCGGUAAUACGUAGGGGGCAAGCGUUAUCCGGAUUUACUGGGUGUAAAGGGAGCGUAGACGGCACUGCAAGUCCGGAGUGAAAGCCCAAGGCUUAACCAUGGGACUGCCCUGGAAACUGGGGAGCUGGAGUGCGGGGGGGGCAGGCGGAAUUCCUGGUGUAGCGGUGAAAUGCGUAGAUAUUAGGAGGAACACCGGCGGCGAAGGCGGCCUGCUGGACCGUAACUGACGUUGAGGCUCGAAAGCGUGGGGAGCAAACAGGAUUAGAUACCCGAGUAGUC
Molecule: ribosomal RNA, 440 nt
Filed under: uncultured bacterium
Lineage: Bacteria
Description: partial 16S ribosomal RNA
Rfam family: Bacterial small subunit ribosomal RNA
Source: RNAcentral